GACGAACGCUGGCGGCGUGCUUAACACAUGCAAGUCGAACGGAAAGGCCCUGCUUUUGUUGGGUGCUCGAGUGGCGAACGGGUGAGUAACACGUGAGUAACCUGCCCUUGACUUUGGGAUAACUUCAGGAAACUGGGGCGAAUACCGGAUAGGAGCUCCUGCUGCAUGGUGGGGGUUGGAAAGAUUCGGCGGUUGGGGAUGGUCUCGCGGCUUAUCAGCUGGUUUGUGGGGUAGGUGCUUACCAAGGCUUUGACGGGUAGGCGGCCUGGGAGCGUGACCGGCCACAUUGGGCCUGCGAUACGGCCCAGACUCCUACGGGAGGCAGCAGUGGAGAAUAUUGCACAAUGGGCGGAAGCCUGAUGCAGCAAUGCCGCGUGCGGGAUGACGGCCUUUGGGUUGUAAACCGCUUUCGACUGUGACGAAGCGUGAGUGACGGUAAUGGGUAAAGAAGCACCGGCUAACUACGUG
Molecule: ribosomal RNA, 468 nt
Filed under: uncultured bacterium
Lineage: Bacteria
Description: partial 16S ribosomal RNA
Rfam family: Bacterial small subunit ribosomal RNA
Source: RNAcentral